CUCAGUGUGGCCGGGGGAGAAAAGUGACAUUCACAAAGAUGUGUUAUUGGUCACUUUUCAUGUUGUGAUCCAGGGCCCUUCUGCUGCACAGGAGGAUGGCCAUGUUUCACUCCAAAGCUGGCCUUCACAGAGGAGAGAUGAGGCUCCUCUGCUCCUUCAGCACAUCUGAAAUCCAGCACCGCAUGCUUGAAAGCCUAGACUUCCUUCUCUGUAGCCUCUCAAGGUCUGGAGAUUGCUGCCCAUCUCCCGCAGCACAUUCUGGAGCUUACGACAUUUGCCUCUGAGAGGAUAGAAGUUGCCAAGGUGGGAGAGGAGAAAAGAGCACUGUGUGCAAAACAGGGGCUCAAAGUGCAAAGGUAAGACAAGGAAAUAUUUUUAUCUUUUAUUAACCCACCUGAAACAGCAGGACAGAGAGCAUUAUUGAGAAAUAGCCACACUGGGAAAAUCUGCAGACUUUUCCUUCUGGCACAACUCCACCUGUGGCAGUCAUGCAGAUGAAUUAGUGGCACUGGUAUCUAACUGCAGCCGUUGCUGUAGGGAUUCAGAAAACAAAGCUCCGUGUGUCCUGACUGCCUCGCAGGGGUGCCAUGACCCACAGCAUCCUGAACCCGGUACACGUGCCUUUAGUUUGCUCUGGAUUUAGAAGGAAAAAGGGUCAGCAGCCAGGUCAUAGCAGCACUCACCUGGUUGCAGCGGCUCUUGCAGUGGUUCGCAGUGACAGGAGCUUAGGUGGUGCAUUUAGGAGAGAAGCUCAGAGUCUCCCAUGCUCACAUCCUCCCUUUCUGCUUGUUCCCACCAAGGCUGCUGCAGCAGUAGCUUGUGAGAUGAAGGGUGGCUUUUCAGAGGAAAAGGUCCCUGGGCUGCCCAGGGAAGUUGUGGAUACAUCUCUGGAGGCGCUCAAGGCCAGGUUG
Long non-coding RNA from Gallus gallus (chicken), 911 nucleotides. The record is from Ensembl. Lineage: Eukaryota; Metazoa; Chordata; Aves; Galliformes; Phasianidae.